CUGUAAAAAAGAACAAAUGUGGCUCUAUGAAUUAUCUCAAAACAGUAUUAGUGACUCCUGGCCUCUACAAUUUCCCCAAGGUCUGCUGAAAAUGCCCCUCACCUUGGAUGCUCCCUACAGUGGAAAGAGAAGAAAUACAUAGUAUCACUCCUCAACCUACAAAGAAAAUCAAAGAGAGACAGGGUUUCAAAACAGGACACUUUCAGAAGUGGAAGCAAAAUUGAGCAAAACUGGAACAGAAAUAAAGGAAGAGGAGGUCCACAUAAAAGUGGAGGAAGAAAACAGAGCUCAGAAACCUUAUAGUGGAAGCUGCCAUGUUUGUGAACACUACAUGAAAACAACAGAAGAGGGAGCACUAUGAAUUUAGAAAAGAGCCCUCACCCAACUAGCCCAUGCACCCUGUUCGUUUGAGAGAAACCCAACAACAGAAGAGGAUGGGCACUCCAUAAGGAUUUAAACACACACUGGCAGUGUUUUCCUCCGCAGCAAGAGAUACCUCAAAACAAGGACAUCAGACCAAACUGCUCUACAGAGUAAAAGCAAUACUUCAAGGACUCUUCUGAGUGUGUGGAAGCCACCGAGAGGCAUGAAAAUGAUGAAUGUGCUUAGUUUUUAUGCCCAGUCCUACUAACCAUACAAAACUGAAACUAGUUCCCUAAAAACCAACUACUCCUGGAUGCCCUAAGCAGUCCCCACCACUUCCCCUGGCUCUGCAGACAUCAAUAAGAGAGCACAUUACAAGGAAUAAAAC
This is a long non-coding RNA of Suricata suricatta (meerkat), 751 nucleotides long. RefSeq lists it as uncharacterized. Lineage: Eukaryota; Metazoa; Chordata; Mammalia; Carnivora; Herpestidae. The transcript has 5 exons. The record is from RefSeq and is a predicted model, not a curated record.